CCUUUGACCCACUACCGUCAGGAAGGAGGUACAGGAGCAUCAGGACUAGGACUGUCAGACUGGGGAACAGCUUCUUCCCUCAGGCUGUGAGACUAAUGAAUACCCUGCCACCGUCGAGGCCUUGUCACUAGGACGAGACUGCUGCGUGUGAAAAUCCCAGAUGAUCAGGAGUUUCCAAGAAUCCCCAUUAAUAGAAAAGCCUAUAAAAAGUAAUGGAUACAGGCCAGCUCAUCACGGUUGAAGCCCUCCCCGCCAUUGAGCACAGUUACAAGGAAUGCUGUUGCAGGAAAGCAGCAACUAUCAUCAGGAAACUCCACCAUCCAGGACAUGCUCUCUUUACACUGUUGCCAUCAGGAAGGACGUACAGGAGCCUCAAGACCAACACCACGAGGAUCAGGAACAGUUAUUACUCCUCAACCAUCAGGCUCUUGAACCAAAGACGCUUCCUGAGUUACAGUGGAUCUCCAGCAUUUGUAUCCUGAUCUGCACAGUACUCAGUGACUAUUCAGUUGCAGAGAUUAUUCAGAAGGAUGAAUUGGGCCAAAGGACCUUUCUGAUCCUAUACAACCCCCUCAAAGUUCAAAGUAAAUUUCUUAUCAAACUAUAGAUAUGUUACCAUAAACUAUCUUGAGAUCUAUUUCCUUGCAGGCAUUUACAGGGAAAAAGGAAAUUCAAUGGAAUUUCACAAGAAAACUAUAUCCAAACAAACACUGAGAAAUAAUCUUCUGGUCAAGAUGACACCCAAGUUGAGGUCUCCAUUGAGACCGUGGCUCACACCUAGUCGUGAUUUUAAGUUCGUAGGGAUUGUUUUGGGGUCAGGUUAGGUUUUGUGACAUGGAUGUGGAGGAGUUAAAGGUCAGGCGUGCAUUCAAUGUUUAGUAAUAUGGACAGGUGGUGAAGGACAUCCAGUAUCUAGGCCUCUGCUCCAGCAACAUGGAUGUGAAAAAGAAGGAUAUCUGGAAUUUAAUCCUCUGCUCCACACUCUAAAGCCAGUGAUAUGGACGGGUGAUGAAGAGCAUCUGUGGAUGUCGAGGUGCCCUGUGAUGUCCAUGUGAGCAGGAGGGUCGAGGAAGCACAAGGGCUGAUGAGUCGGCGUGCCCGGAGUUCAGCGUCUCAUCAUCAGCUAGUCUGGGGGGCGAUACCGAAGAGCAAAGCCAGACUGUUGAUCAGAAGUCUGAAGCAUGGAGACUCGAGGCCUGCCUGGAGCUGUAGGACUAUCCUGUGUGUGUGUGAGUGGGAUGAGCAGGGCUUGUUCUGCUGCUGUUGUUCUGUCACUCGUUGUGUUCUGUGUCGUUCUGCUGAGAACGUCCAGAAUGUGCAGCAACACUUGUGGGCUGCCCCCGGCAGGUCCUUAGGUUGUGUUGGUGAUUAACAUAAAUGACGUAAUUGACUCUAUGUUUUGAUAUAAUGUGAUAAGUAACUCUGAAUCUGAACCAAUAUACAAAAGAAGACAAGAAAAUGGAAGAAAAAAGUGAUUGCACUCCAACCCCAUGACUCAAUGACUGUAGACUGUGUGCAUUACCAAGUUCCUGGAGCUCCAGCUGCAGAUUCUAUCUGUAGUUAAAGCAUGACCAGUUGAUAUAAUUACUCAACAGAGAAUGAGAAGUUUGGAGAUUAAAAAUAUCUGCACUUAACCCGUCUCGUGAAGCAAUUCAUGGGAACAAAGAUACGAACUGCAGGAUGUCGAAGUUUGAUUUCACUAAAUUAGAAAGCUGCUAGAGAGUCUAAUCAUUUAAGACAAUUAAUUAAUGUUCCACCCACUGAGACAGAAUUGUAUGGUAAAUUUUAGUGUAGGCAGCAUCUGAUACUGCAAUUAUAAUCUGCAUAUUGGGAGAUAAAGUGUAAGGAAUGUUUUUCAUUUAAAUGCCAACAUGUUGGUCUUUUCACAUUUUCUUUUCAUUUCUCCCCAUACAUUUUUACUCUCAUCAUAGAGUCAAAGAGUCUUAGAAUACUAUAGCACAGAAACAGCCCCUACAGCUCAUCUGUGCUGAACUAUUGGUUAUAUCACCUGCGUGCUGCAGGUAACUGUUUUUAUUUUUUAAAAUCUCUUUUUUCCCCACAGUGCAGGUCCAAAACAUUUUUUUUCCAGGUGAAGCAAUGAUUCCCUUGAGUUUCUUGCCCUUUUACAUGUUCUAUCAUCUGCAGCUUGUGAUAUUGUCUGGUUCACAAUGGUGAAACCAAAUGCUGAUUGGUAAAUUGGUAAGUUGGUUUAUUCAAAGUCCAAAGUAAAUUUGUCAUCAAAGUACAUAUAUGUCACCAUAUACAACCUUGAGAUUCAUUUUCUUGUAGGUGUUCACAGUAGAUACAAGAAAACACAAGAAAAUCAAUAAGAAACAAAAAUGGACAAACAAUCAAGAUGCAAAAGAAGACAAACUGCAAAUACAAAAAUAAACAAAUAAUAAUAAUUAAUAAAUAAGAAAUCAUAUUGAGAAGAUGUGUUGUAAAGUCUUUGAAAGUGAGUCCAUAGAUUGUGGAAUCAGGUCAAUGCUGAGGUGAGUGUGGUAUCUACUGUGGUUCAGGAGCCACAAGAUUUCCAUCAUCACUCGUGUUUACAGAAAAGGGACAGAUAAACAAUGAAUUUAUGAACAUAGACCACACAGCACAAUACAGGUCCUUUCAACCCACAAUGUUGUGUUGACUUUUUAAGAUCAAUCAAACCCCUCUCUUCUACUGGGUCGUCCAUUUUGCUAUCACCAUGUGCUUAUCUAAGAGUUUCUCUAAUGCCCCUAGUGUAUUUGCC
Hypanus sabinus (Atlantic stingray) is the source of this 2740-nucleotide long non-coding RNA. RefSeq lists it as uncharacterized. Lineage: Eukaryota; Metazoa; Chordata; Chondrichthyes; Myliobatiformes; Dasyatidae. The transcript has 3 exons. The record is from RefSeq and is a predicted model, not a curated record.